RNAcentral lists this ribosomal RNA (555 nucleotides) under Enterobacter hormaechei subsp. xiangfangensis. RNAcentral describes it as "partial 23S ribosomal RNA". The stretch from base 1 to 406 matches the Rfam family "Bacterial large subunit ribosomal RNA", at positions 1630 to 2037 of the family's 2925-position model. The record is from RNAcentral. Lineage: Bacteria; Pseudomonadati; Pseudomonadota; Gammaproteobacteria; Enterobacterales; Enterobacteriaceae.
GGUAACACGAAAUCGUACCCCAAACCGACACAGGUGGUCAGGUAGAGAAUACCAAGGCGCUUGAGAGAACUCGGGUGAAGGAACUAGGCAAAAUGGUGCCGUAACUUCGGGAGAAGGCACGCUGAUAGGUAGGUGAAGCCCCUGCGGGCGGAGCUGAAAUCAGUCGAAGAUACCAGCUGGCUGCAACUGUUUAUUAAAAACACAGCACUGUGCAAACACGAAAGUGGACGUAUACGGUGUGACGCCUGCCCGGUGCCGGAAGGUUAAUUGAUGGGGUUUUAACGAUGCUUCCGCUUUACGGAAUCCGUCGAUCCUUUGCUGUUUUGUCAUGAGGUUUCCUUUGAGCAGAAUGCGAAUAAGGCAGGCGUAAAGUUGGCUAACUUUACAUGUCCUGCCCGAACUGUGCUGUUGGUUAUACGUGUAUACGUGUAUGCAUGCAGAGUGGAAAUCUCAGGGAAACCCGAAGGAAUGCCAAAGGAAAUCUGUGUACCGGACAAGAUGUGUUUUUGGAGUACCGCCACACGCAGCGGCAUCCAAAAACAACAUGGUCAGGGC